This is a non-coding RNA of Triticum aestivum (bread wheat), 115 nucleotides long. The record is from Rfam. Lineage: Eukaryota; Viridiplantae; Streptophyta; Magnoliopsida; Poales; Poaceae.
UAUAUACUCCCUCCGUUCGGAAUUACUUGUCGCAGAAAUACAUGUAUCUAGACAUAUUUUAGUUCUAGAUACAUCCAUUUCCAAGACAAGUAAUUCCGAACGGAGUGAGUACAUG